RNAcentral lists this ribosomal RNA (2902 nucleotides) under Escherichia coli. RNAcentral describes it as "bacterial LSU rRNA". It matches the Rfam family "Bacterial large subunit ribosomal RNA". The record is from RNAcentral. Lineage: Bacteria; Pseudomonadati; Pseudomonadota; Gammaproteobacteria; Enterobacterales; Enterobacteriaceae.
UUAAGCGACUAAGCGUACACGGUGGAUGCCCUGGCAGUCAGAGGCGAUGAAGGACGUGCUAAUCUGCGAUAAGCGUCGGUAAGGUGAUAUGAACCGUUAUAACCGGCGAUUUCCGAAUGGGGAAACCCAGUGUGAUUCGUCACACUAUCAUUAACUGAAUCCAUAGGUUAAUGAGGCGAACCGGGGGAACUGAAACAUCUAAGUACCCCGAGGAAAAGAAAUCAACCGAGAUUCCCCCAGUAGCGGCGAGCGAACGGGGAGCAGCCCAGAGCCUGAAUCAGUGUGUGUGUUAGUGGAAGCGUCUGGAAAGGCGUGCGAUACAGGGUGACAGCCCCGUACACAAAAAUGCACAUACUGUGAGCUCGAUGAGUAGGGCGGGACACGUGGUAUCCUGUCUGAAUAUGGGGGGACCAUCCUCCAAGGCUAAAUACUCCUGACUGACCGAUAGUGAACCAGUACCGUGAGGGAAAGGCGAAAAGAACCCCGGCGAGGGGAGUGAAAAAGAACCUGAAACCGUGUACGUACAAGCAGUGGGAGCACGCUUAGGCGUGUGACUGCGUACCUUUUGUAUAAUGGGUCAGCGACUUAUAUUCUGUAGCAAGGUUAACCGAAUAGGGGAGCCGAAGGGAAACCGAGUCUUAACUGGGCGUUAAGUUGCAGGGUAUAGACCCGAAACCCGGUGAUCUAGCCAUGGGCAGGUUGAAGGUUGGGUAACACUAACUGGAGGACCGAACCGACUAAUGUUGAAAAAUUAGCGGAUGACUUGUGGCUGGGGGUGAAAGGCCAAUCAAACCGGGAGAUAGCUGGUUCUCCCCGAAAGCUAUUUAGGUAGCGCCUCGUGAAUUCAUCUCCGGGGGUAGAGCACUGUUUCGGCAAGGGGGUCAUCCCGACUUACCAACCCGAUGCAAACUGCGAAUACCGGAGAAUGUUAUCACGGGAGACACACGGCGGGUGCUAACGUCCGUCGUGAAGAGGGAAACAACCCAGACCGCCAGCUAAGGUCCCAAAGUCAUGGUUAAGUGGGAAACGAUGUGGGAAGGCCCAGACAGCCAGGAUGUUGGCUUAGAAGCAGCCAUCAUUUAAAGAAAGCGUAAUAGCUCACUGGUCGAGUCGGCCUGCGCGGAAGAUGUAACGGGGCUAAACCAUGCACCGAAGCUGCGGCAGCGACGCUUAUGCGUUGUUGGGUAGGGGAGCGUUCUGUAAGCCUGCGAAGGUGUGCUGUGAGGCAUGCUGGAGGUAUCAGAAGUGCGAAUGCUGACAUAAGUAACGAUAAAGCGGGUGAAAAGCCCGCUCGCCGGAAGACCAAGGGUUCCUGUCCAACGUUAAUCGGGGCAGGGUGAGUCGACCCCUAAGGCGAGGCCGAAAGGCGUAGUCGAUGGGAAACAGGUUAAUAUUCCUGUACUUGGUGUUACUGCGAAGGGGGGACGGAGAAGGCUAUGUUGGCCGGGCGACGGUUGUCCCGGUUUAAGCGUGUAGGCUGGUUUUCCAGGCAAAUCCGGAAAACUAAGGCUGAGGCGUGAUGACGAGGCACUACGGUGCUGAAGCAACAAAUGCCCUGCUUCCAGGAAAAGCCUCUAAGCAUCAGGUAACAUCAAAUCGUACCCCAAACCGACACAGGUGGUCAGGUAGAGAAUACCAAGGCGCUUGAGAGAACUCGGGUGAAGGAACUAGGCAAAAUGGUGCCGUAACUUCGGGAGAAGGCACGCUGAUAUGUAGGUGAAGCGACUUGCUCGUGGAGCUGAAAUCAGUCGAAGAUACCAGCUGGCUGCAACUGUUUAUUAAAAACACAGCACUGUGCAAACACGAAAGUGGACGUAUACGGUGUGACGCCUGCCCGGUGCCGGAAGGUUAAUUGAUGGGGUUAGCGCAAGCGAAGCUCUUGAUCGAAGCCCCGGUAAACGGCGGCCGUAACUAUAACGGUCCUAAGGUAGCGAAAUUCCUUGUCGGGUAAGUUCCGACCUGCACGAAUGGCGUAAUGAUGGCCAGGCUGUCUCCACCCGAGACUCAGUGAAAUUGAACUCGCUGUGAAGAUGCAGUGUACCCGCGGCAAGACGGAAAGACCCCGUGAACCUUUACUAUAGCUUGACACUGAACAUUGAGCCUUGAUGUGUAGGAUAGGUGGGAGGCUUUGAAGUGUGGACGCCAGUCUGCAUGGAGCCGACCUUGAAAUACCACCCUUUAAUGUUUGAUGUUCUAACGUUGACCCGUAAUCCGGGUUGCGGACAGUGUCUGGUGGGUAGUUUGACUGGGGCGGUCUCCUCCUAAAGAGUAACGGAGGAGCACGAAGGUUGGCUAAUCCUGGUCGGACAUCAGGAGGUUAGUGCAAUGGCAUAAGCCAGCUUGACUGCGAGCGUGACGGCGCGAGCAGGUGCGAAAGCAGGUCAUAGUGAUCCGGUGGUUCUGAAUGGAAGGGCCAUCGCUCAACGGAUAAAAGGUACUCCGGGGAUAACAGGCUGAUACCGCCCAAGAGUUCAUAUCGACGGCGGUGUUUGGCACCUCGAUGUCGGCUCAUCACAUCCUGGGGCUGAAGUAGGUCCCAAGGGUAUGGCUGUUCGCCAUUUAAAGUGGUACGCGAGCUGGGUUUAGAACGUCGUGAGACAGUUCGGUCCCUAUCUGCCGUGGGCGCUGGAGAACUGAGGGGGGCUGCUCCUAGUACGAGAGGACCGGAGUGGACGCAUCACUGGUGUUCGGGUUGUCAUGCCAAUGGCACUGCCCGGUAGCUAAAUGCGGAAGAGAUAAGUGCUGAAAGCAUCUAAGCACGAAACUUGCCCCGAGAUGAGUUCUCCCUGACUCCUUGAGAGUCCUGAAGGAACGUUGAAGACGACGACGUUGAUAGGCCGGGUGUGUAAGCGCAGCGAUGCGUUGAGCUAACCGGUACUAAUGAACCGUGAGGCUUAACCUU